This 405-nucleotide ribosomal RNA is filed under the name uncultured bacterium. RNAcentral describes it as "partial 16S ribosomal RNA". It matches the Rfam family "Bacterial small subunit ribosomal RNA", at positions 30 to 525 of the family's 1533-position model. The record is from RNAcentral.
AUUGAACGCUGGCGGCAGGCCUAACACAUGCAAGUCGAACGAGUGGCGGACGGGUGAGUAAUGUCUGGGAAACUGCCCGAUGGAGGGGGAUAACUACUGGAAACGGUAGCUAAUACCGCAUACCAUCGGAUGUGCCCAGAUGGGAUUAGCUAGUAGGUGGGGUAACGGCUCACCUAGGCGACGGUCCAUAACUGGUCUGAGGGGAUGACCAGCCAAACUGGAACGGCGGCACGGGCCAGACUCCUAGUGGAGGCAGCAGUGGGGAAGAUUGCACAAUGGGCGCAAGCCUGAUGCAGCCAUGCCGCGUGUAUGAAGAAGGCCUUCGGGUUGUAAAGUACUUUCAGCGAGGAGGCGUUACUCGCAGAAGAAGCACCGGCUAACUCCGUGCCAGCAGCCGCGGUAAUA